Long non-coding RNA from Phyllopteryx taeniolatus (common seadragon), 1084 nucleotides. RefSeq lists it as uncharacterized. Lineage: Eukaryota; Metazoa; Chordata; Actinopteri; Syngnathiformes; Syngnathidae. The record is from RefSeq and is a predicted model, not a curated record. The transcript is spliced from 3 exons.
GUACAAAGGGAAAACAAUCAGUUUUGUUAUGGUUAGUGGGCUUCACAACAACGUGUAUUUGAGGCGUUUUCAUGCGUCUUGUUAUAGUAGACAAUUCCACCCAAUUUCAUGUCGAUUGGUGAAACCUGUGAAGGUAUACUCCCAAGCAAGAAUCAAGUAUCAAGGACUUUUGAGGGUACCACAAGGGUAGCACGCGAGUGAUGAAUCACUGCACCCCAAAAGGGCACAGAAGCUGAGGACUGAGACUCAGCCUGUAUUAUAACCAGGGACCUCACCUCUCAUACCCGAAUCCCAGCGAGUCACGUAUUGAAGGUGUGGUGAGUCCUUCAACAAAUAUGGCCGAUAUGUUCAGCAAGCAGAUGAACAGUUGUUGUCCACUUGUGUGAUGGGUUACUGAGAUGCACAAACUGCAUCUGAUGCAAUGCCAGCUGCAUCCAUUUUCAUACAUUUACAGCAUUGAAAACCUCACAAGUGCUGCUUGUGUGUGUUCCUACCUACCCGUGUGUGUGUGUGUCGAGAAUGAGUUCAUUCUUUUCAAGGGGGUCAGUAUGGCGACAAUUUUGGCCAAUGAUGUAUCCUCGGCGGUGCGGCCCGGCAUUUCUCAACUGUCAUCACCAUGCCGCCUCAAUUACUUUGAAGGAUUGUCCGGGACAAGGUCGUUGGCUCACACACACGGCAUUAGUGUGAGCUUAAUUGCCUACUAGCCACUGGAUACUUUUUCAGGUACACCUGCACUAAUAAGUCUCAGUUUUGAUCCCGUUGAUUUAACAGUAUGUUUAUUAGUGUGGUUGUAGUCUUAGUGUACUCGGUUUAAGUAUCUCCCAUAGAAUGUUCAUUACGUUCAAAAAAAGGGUAAUCAACUGUCAAGAUAAUGCAAGGAAAGAGAGAUGGAGAAUCCAGGGCACGAGCUAAAUUGUGCAAACGUCAAAACUGUCUUUCACAUUGCGCUCGCCUUUCUUCUGGGUUCAUUCGAGUGUUGCAUGCAGCAAUCCGAGUUCAAGCACACUCGGGAGGAUUGCACAUGAAACGUUAAGGCUUGUUCUUAAGCUUUUGGGCCAGUUUAACUUGGAAAUAAGGAGAUAAG